AUUGAACGCUGGCGGCAUGCUUUACACAUGCCAGUCGAACGGUAACAGCACUUCGGUGGCUGACGAGUGGCGAACGGGUGAGUAAUACAUCGGAACGUGCCUAGUAGUGGGGGAUAACUACUCGAAAGAGUAGCUAAUACCGCAUGAGAUCUAAGGAUGAAAGCAGGGGACCUUCGGGCCUUGCGCUACUAGAGCGGCUGAUGGCAGAUUAGGUAGUUGGUGGGAUAAAAGCUUACCAAGCCGACGAUCUGUAGCUGGUCUGAGAGGACGACCAGCCACACUGGGACUGAGACACGUCCCAGACUCCUACGGGAGGCAGCAGUGGGGAAUUUUGGACAAUGGGCGCAAGCCUGAUCCAGCAAUGCCGCGUGCAGGAUGAAGGCCUUCGGGUUGUAAACUGCUUUUGUACGGAACGAAAAGCCCUCUUCUAAUACAGGAGGGUCAUGAAGGUACCGUAAGAAUAAGCACCGGCUAACUACGUG
RNAcentral lists this ribosomal RNA (482 nucleotides) under uncultured bacterium. RNAcentral describes it as "partial 16S ribosomal RNA". It matches the Rfam family "Bacterial small subunit ribosomal RNA", at positions 30 to 507 of the family's 1533-position model. The record is from RNAcentral.